GUGCUUGCUUUGGCAGCACAUACAUUAAAACUGGAAUAAUACAGAGAUCAGCACAGCCCCUGUACAAUAAUGACACACAAAUUUGUGAGUGUCCUAUAUUUUA
Small nuclear RNA from Artibeus jamaicensis (Jamaican fruit-eating bat), 103 nucleotides. The record is from RefSeq and is a predicted model, not a curated record. NCBI's taxonomy places the organism in Eukaryota, Metazoa, Chordata, Mammalia, Chiroptera, Phyllostomidae.